Long non-coding RNA from Xenopus laevis (African clawed frog), 252 nucleotides. RefSeq lists it as uncharacterized. NCBI's taxonomy places the organism in Eukaryota, Metazoa, Chordata, Amphibia, Anura, Pipidae. The transcript is spliced from 3 exons. The record is from RefSeq and is a predicted model, not a curated record.
GAUCAAAGUGACCUGGAACAACUCCCUUCAAACACAGUUCACAAAAAUGCCCUUUCAGGUUAUCAGUUACUUGGUGCUGAAAAAUGGUGCCAUUGCUGGGAUCACCUGGAUUAUGAAGGCAAAGUGAUAUUCACAUCAACUUACAGUAUUAUCAGCAGUAAUCAGGGUCCCUCUACAGGAGAUACUAUAACGUGCUGGGCAGAAAAUGCUUUUGUCAAGUCUGGGACUUUUAAACAAGUACAACGUUUCAUG